Molecule: ribosomal RNA, 1346 nt
Filed under: uncultured bacterium
Lineage: Bacteria
Description: partial 16S ribosomal RNA
Rfam family: Bacterial small subunit ribosomal RNA
Source: RNAcentral
GACGAACGCUGGCGGCGUGCUUAACACAUGCAAGUCGAACGGAAAGGCCCUGCUUUUGUGGGGUGCUCGAGUGGCGAACGGGUGAGUAACACGUGAGUAACCUGCCCUUGACUUUGGGAUAACUUCAGGAAACUGGGGCUAAUACCGGAUAGGAGCUCCUGCUGCAUGGUGGGGGUUGGAAAGUUUCGGCGGUUGGGGAUGGACUCGCGGCUUAUCAGCUUGUUGGUGGGGUAGUGGCUUACCAAGGCUUUGACGGGUAGCCGGCCUGAGAGGGUGACCGGCCACAUUGGGACUGAGAUACGGCCCAGACUCCUACGGGAGGCAGCAGUGGGGAAUAUUGCACAAUGGGCGGAAGCCUGAUGCAGCAACGCCGCGUGCGGGAUGACGGCCUUCGGGUUGUAAACCGCUUUCGCCUGUGACGAAGCGUGAGUGACGGUAAUGGGUAAAGAAGCACCGGCUAACUACGUGCCAGCAGCCGCGGUGAUACGUAGGGUGCGAGCGUUGUCCGGAUUUAUUGGGCGUAAAGGGCUCGUAGGUGGUUGAUCGCGUCGGAAGUGUAAUCUUGGGGCUUAACCCUGAGCGUGCUUUCGAUACGGGUUGACUUGAGGAAGGUAGGGGAGAAGGGAAUUCCUGGUGGAGCGGUGGAAUGCGCAGAUAUCAGGAGGAACACCAGUGGCGAAGGCGGUUCUCUGGGCCUUUCCUGACGCUGAGGAGCGAAAGCGUGGGGAGCGAACAGGCUUAGAUACCCUGGUAGUCCACGCUGUAAACGGUGGGUACUAGGUGUGGGGUCCAUUCCACGGGUUCCGUGCCGUAGCUAACGCUUUAAGUACCCCGCCUGGGGAGUACGGCCGCAAGGCUAAAACUCAAAGGAAUUGACGGGGCCCCGCACAAGCGGCGGAGCAUGCGGAUUAAUUCGAUGCAACGCGUAGAACCUUACCUGGGUUUGACAUGGAUCGGGAGUGCUCAGAGAUGGGUGUGCCUCUUUUGGGGUCGGUUCACAGGUGGUGCAUGGCUGUCGUCAGCUCGUGUCGUGAGAUGUUGGGUUAAGUCCCGCAACGAGCGCAACCCUUGUUCACUGUUGCCAGCACGUUAUGGUGGGGACUCAGUGGAGACCGCCGGGGUCAACUCGGAGGAAGGUGGGGAUGACGUCAAGUCAUCAUGCCCCUUAUGUCCAGGGCUUCACGCAUGCUACAAUGGCUGGUACAGAGAGUGGCGAGCCUGUGAGGGUGAGCGAAUCUCGGAAAGCCGGUCUCAGUUCGGAUUGGGGUCUGCAACUCGACCUCAUGAAGUCGGAGUCGCUAGUAAUCGCAGAUCAGCAACGCUGCGGUGAAUACGUUCCCGGGGCU